GACGAACGCUGGCGGCGUGCUUAACACAUGCAAGUCGAACGGAAAGGCCCUGCUUUUGUGGGGUGCUCGAGUGGCGAACGGGUGAGUAACACGUGAGUAACCUGCCCUUGACUUUGGGAUAACUUCAGGAAACUGGGGCUAAUAUCGGAUAGGAGCUCCUGCUGCAUGGUGGGGGUUGGAAAGUUUCGGCGGUUGGGGAUGGACUCGCGGCUUAUCAGCUUGUUGGUGGGGUAGUGGCUUACCAAGGCUUUGACGGGUAGCCGGCCUGAGAGCGUGACCGGCCACAUUGGGACUGAGAUACGGACCAGACUCCUACGGGAGGCAACAGUGGGGAGUAUUACACAGUGAGCGGAAGCCUGAUGCGGCAACGCCGCGUGCGGGAUGACGGCCUUCGGGUUGUGAACCGCUUUCGCCUGUGACGAAGCGUGAGUGACGGUAAUGAGUAAAGAAGCACCGGCUAACUACGUG
Molecule: ribosomal RNA, 468 nt
Filed under: uncultured bacterium
Lineage: Bacteria
Description: partial 16S ribosomal RNA
Rfam family: Bacterial small subunit ribosomal RNA
Source: RNAcentral